GACGAACGCUGGCGGCGUGCUUAACACAUGCAAGUCGAACGGAAAGGCCCUGCUUGCGUGGUACUCGCGUGUCGCACGGGUGUGUAACACGCGGGUGUUAUCCCCUCCACAUCGGGGUAUGCCUUGGAGAAUGGGUGUAUUACAGGGGAGAGGACCUCCUGCGUGUGGUGGUGGGAAAGAAUUUUCGGUCUAGGAUGAGCUCGCGGCCUAUCAGCUUGUUGGUGGGGUAAUGGGCUACCAAGGCGGCGACGGGGGGGCGGCCGGGGAGGGUGGACGGCCACAUUGGGGCUGAGAUACGGGCCAGGCCCCUACGGGGGGGAGGAGGGGGGAAUAUUGCACAAUGGGGGCAAGGCUGAAGGAGGGAACGCGCGGUGGGGGAGACGGCCUUCGGGUUGUAAACUCCCUUCGCCAGGGGAGAAGCUGUUUGUGACGGUACCUAGAUAAGAAGCACCGGCUAACUACGUG
This 465-nucleotide ribosomal RNA is filed under the name uncultured bacterium. Its description in RNAcentral is "partial 16S ribosomal RNA". It matches the Rfam family "Bacterial small subunit ribosomal RNA", at positions 28 to 507 of the family's 1533-position model. The record is from RNAcentral.